Non-coding RNA from Dipodomys ordii (Ord's kangaroo rat), 70 nucleotides. NCBI's taxonomy places the organism in Eukaryota, Metazoa, Chordata, Mammalia, Rodentia, Heteromyidae. The record is from Rfam.
GGUAAGGUGGCUCAGUGGUAGAGUGCUUGCCUUGCAUGCAUGAGGCCCUGGGUUCAAUUCCUCAGCACCA